GAUGAAGAACGUAGCGAAAUGCGAUACGUAAUGUGAAUUGCAGAAUUCAGUGAAUCAUCGAGUCUUUGAACGCAUAUUGCGCCCCCUGGUAUUCCGGGGGGCAUGCCUGUCCGAGCGUCAUUGCUGCCCUCAAGCACGGCUUGUGUGUUGGGCCUCCGUCCUCCUCCCGGGGGACGGGCCCGAAAGGCAGCGGCGGCACCGCGUCCGGUCCUCGAGCGUAUGGGGCUUCGUCACCCGCUCUUGUAGGCCCGGCCGGCGCUUGCCGACACAUCAAUCUUUUUUCCAGGUUGACCUCGGAUCAGGUAGGGAUACCCGCUGAACUUAAGCAUAUCAAUAAGCGGAGGA
This 345-nucleotide unclassified non-coding RNA is filed under the name soil metagenome. RNAcentral describes it as "partial contains 5.8S ribosomal RNA, internal transcribed spacer 2, and large subunit ribosomal RNA". The stretch from base 1 to 120 matches the Rfam family "5.8S ribosomal RNA", at positions 35 to 154 of the family's 154-position model. The record is from RNAcentral.